This 55-nucleotide transfer RNA is filed under the name Falcaria vulgaris. Its description in RNAcentral is "partial tRNA-Leu". Lineage: Eukaryota; Viridiplantae; Streptophyta; Magnoliopsida; Apiales; Apiaceae. The record is from RNAcentral.
AAAAUCCGUUGACUUUAAAAAUCGUGAGGGUUCAAGUCCCUCUAUCCCCAAAAAG